Molecule: long non-coding RNA, 373 nt
Organism: Ornithodoros turicata
Lineage: Eukaryota; Metazoa; Arthropoda; Arachnida; Ixodida; Argasidae
Exons: 3
Source: RefSeq, a predicted model, not a curated record
CAGAGGAAAGCACAGAGGAGACGGAAAUGACAGUGGGUUCACCACCUCCGCUGCCUCGUCCCCGCACAUUCUUGCCUCCAAUGGGUCGCAGAACACGACGAGUGCCUCCACCUUCUGCGAGGCCUUCAGCUCAAGAUGAGCUGGUGAACCUCAUGAAAGAAAUGAGGGACCAGCAGCAGGAGAACCAGAGAGUGCUGCACGAGAUUGCAGGGGCAUUAGCAGACAUUUCAGGCAGUCUGUCUGUUAUUGCCUCUGCCUUUUUGGAACAAGACAUAGGCGAUGCACAUUAAGGUACCCAUGAACGACCGAAGAACCUCACUAAGGAUAGGACACGUGACAUUGGACAGCAUGUCUACGUUCUUGUAUAUGGACA